UACGUAGGGUGCGAGCGUUGUCCGGAAUUACUGGGCGUAAAGAGCUUGUAGGCGGUCUGUCGCGUCGAUUGUGAAAUCUUGCAGCUCAACUGCAAGCCUGCAGUCGAUACGGGCAGACUAGAGUACUUCAGGGGAGACUGGAAUUCCUGGUGUAGCGGUGAAAUGCGCAGAUAUCAGGAGGAACACCGGUGGCGAAGGCGGGUCUCUGGGAAGUAACUGACGCUGAGAAGCGAAAGCGUGGGUAGCGAACAGG
RNAcentral lists this ribosomal RNA (253 nucleotides) under uncultured bacterium. Its description in RNAcentral is "partial 16S ribosomal RNA". It matches the Rfam family "Bacterial small subunit ribosomal RNA", at positions 524 to 776 of the family's 1533-position model. The record is from RNAcentral.